AUCCCAGGCUGUGAACACUGCUGGGCUAUUAUUACCUGGGGACAAGUCUGCCUUCCCACUGGAUCUGGGAGGGCAGGCUGGGUUCUGUUCACCCUCUCUGCCUUCUCCUCUGAGCUAACAACAUCUGCUAGGACCUGGGUUCAAAUCCAGAUGCCCCUAUCUUUGGAGCUCCUUAGAGCUGUGCCCUGAAACCCUCUGCCCUGCUGAAGAAUGGAGAGGACUCCCCCACCAGCACCUCCACCUAGGACACAUGGGAACUGUGGGACUUGGAGCAAAGUUUUCAAGUCUCUGUGCCUUAGUUUCCUCACCUGUAAGUUGGGGGAAUGAUAGUAACUGCUCUUAAGAGCUGCUGUAGGAAUUGAGAUCUUGCAUGAAAAAGGAUAAAACCAAUUGAUAUGGUUUAGUUCUUAGUCCCCACCCAAAUCUCAUGUCCAGUUAUGAUCCUCAGUGUAGGAGGAGGGACCUCGUGGGAGGUGAUUGGAUCGUGGGGGCAGUUUCUAAUGUUUUAGCACCAUCCUCCUAGUGCUGCUUGUUUAAAAGUGUGUAGCACCCCACCUUCCUCUCCUGCCGGCCAUGUGAAGACGUGCUUGCUUCCCUUUCACCAUCUGCCAUGAUUGUAAGUUUCCUGAGGUCUCCCCAGAAGCAGAAGCCUGUAUAGCCCACAGAAUCAUGAGCUGAUUAAACCUCU
RNAcentral lists this long non-coding RNA (688 nucleotides) under Homo sapiens (human). Its description in RNAcentral is "HSALNT0398191". Lineage: Eukaryota; Metazoa; Chordata; Mammalia; Primates; Hominidae. The record is from RNAcentral.